CCUACGGGAGGCAGCAGUGGGGGAUAUUGCACAAUGGGGGGAACCCUGAUGCAGCGACGCCGCGUGGGUGAAGAAGCGCCUCGGCGUGUAAAGCCCUGUCAGCAGGGAAGCAAAAGACGGUACCUGAAGAAGAAGCCCCGGCUAACUACGUGCCAGCAGCCGCGGUAAGACGCCGGGGGCAACCGUGAUCCGGAUUUACGGGGUGUAAAGGGGGCGCAGACGGCGAGGCAAGCCAGGAGGGAAAGCCCGGGGCCCAAACCCGGGACUGCUCUUGAAACUGCGUGGCUGGAGUGCAGGAGGGGCAGGCGGAAUGCGUGGUGUAGCGGUGAAAUGCGUAGAUAUCAGGAGGAACACCGGUGGCGAAGGCGGCCUGCUGGACUGCAACUGACGUUGAGGCCCGAAAGCGUGGGGAGCGAACAGGAUUAGAUACCCCAGUAGUC
Molecule: ribosomal RNA, 440 nt
Filed under: uncultured bacterium
Lineage: Bacteria
Description: partial 16S ribosomal RNA
Rfam family: Bacterial small subunit ribosomal RNA
Source: RNAcentral